RNAcentral lists this long non-coding RNA (515 nucleotides) under Cyanistes caeruleus (blue tit). RNAcentral's name for it is "lncRNA (ENSCCEG00000005896.1)". The record is from RNAcentral. Lineage: Eukaryota; Metazoa; Chordata; Aves; Passeriformes; Paridae.
UAGUAAUUAAGUAGCUUGUAUCUUGCUUGGUAUGAUAAUUACCCUUCUCUUAGGUCUGUUGACUAGUGUUCAUCUAUCGCCUACUACCGUCAGCUCAGAUAGAAUUUGGAGUGGUAUGAAGUACCUCGUGCACUGAAGAACCAGCAUUUUGAAGGACCUGCAGGUGCUACCACAAGGCUCCCCAGGAGGGGAAAUCAGGAUAGCACAUCUCAGCAGAUGGGAGCAUAAAUCUGGCUAGGAAGAGAACGCAAGUGAGAAACAUGUUGAGUCAAUCUCCUCCAAAGAUACUCAUUGAAAAUCUUAAGAUACUAGGAUAUAUGGAGACCUCUGGCAUUCAUCAUUCACACAUGGAGUUAUUCAAACUGAUGAGCACUGGCAAAAGUAAUUCCUGCGUCUUCCUGGCUGCUCGACAAAAUGAGCACAGCUGAUUUCAGGCUACUCUGUAGAAGCAGUACAGAAAACAUUCAUGACUUCAGGUAGGAAAUAGGUAAUAAAGUAAGUGUCAUUUCAUAGCA